GAGGGUACAGCUCAGUGUUAAGAGUGCAUGCCUAGCAUGCAUGAGGUCCUGGGUUCAAUCCCCCAUAGUUCCA
This 73-nucleotide transfer RNA is filed under the name Camelus bactrianus (Bactrian camel). It matches the Rfam family "tRNA". From Rfam's summary of the family: Transfer RNA (tRNA) molecules are approximately 80 nucleotides in length. The record is from Rfam by way of RNAcentral. RNAcentral also lists the same sequence under 2 other names. Lineage: Eukaryota; Metazoa; Chordata; Mammalia; Artiodactyla; Camelidae.